RNAcentral lists this ribosomal RNA (509 nucleotides) under uncultured bacterium. RNAcentral's name for it is "partial 16S ribosomal RNA". The stretch from base 20 to 330 matches the Rfam family "Bacterial small subunit ribosomal RNA", at positions 47 to 358 of the family's 1533-position model. The record is from RNAcentral.
GACGAACGCUGGCGGCGUGCUUAACACAUGCAAGUCGAACGGAAAGGCCCUGCUUUUGUGGGGUGCUCGAGUGGCGAACGGGUGAGUAACACGUGAGUAACCUGCCCUUGACUUUGGGAUAACUUCAGGAAACUGGGGCUAAUACCGGAUAGGAGCUCCUGCUGCAUGGUGGGGGUUGGAAAGUUUCGGCGGUUGGGGAUGGACUCGCGGCUUAUCAGCUUGUUGGUGGGGUAGUGGCUUACCAAGGCUUUGACGGGUAGCCGGCCUGAGGGGGUGACCGGCGUGGGUGGGAGGGCGCGUCGGCAGAGCUGCGGAGGGGGAGCGGAUGGGGUGAGUGUAGGACAGUGGGGGCAUGAUGGCUGAGGCACGGCUGGGGGGGGGUUGACGGCCUGCGGGUUGUAAAGCGCGUUCGUGUGGGAGGGGGGGUGGGGGAGGGUGGUGGGAAAAGAAGACUCGGCUAACUGCGUGCAAGCGGAUGCUGUAAGAGGCGGAAGAGAAUACCUCUGACC